GUACGCUGGCGGCACGCCUAACACAUGCAAGUCGAACGAAGUAGCAAUACUUAGUGGCAGACGGGUGAGUAACAUGUGGGUAUCUACCCUAUGGCCUGGAAUAACACGAGGAAACUUGUGCUAAUACUGGAUAAGUCUUUACGGAGAAAGCUUUAUGCACCAUUGGAUGAGCCCGCACUUGAUUAGUUUGUUGGUAGGGUAACGGCCUACCAAGACUUUGAUCAAUAGCUGAUUUGAGAGGAUGAUCAGCCACAUUGGGACUGAGACACGGCCCAAACUCCUACGGGAGGCAGCAGUGGGGAAUCUUGCACAAUGGAGGAAACUCUGAUGCAGCGAUGCCGCGUGAGUGAAGAAGGCCCUUGGGUUGUAAAGCUCUUUCGUCGGGGAAGAAAAUGACUGUACCCGAAUAAGAAGGUCCGGCUAACU
Molecule: ribosomal RNA, 426 nt
Filed under: uncultured bacterium
Lineage: Bacteria
Description: bacterial SSU rRNA
Rfam family: Bacterial small subunit ribosomal RNA
Source: RNAcentral